UAUAAUCACUAGGGGUGUUAUAUAACUGAGAUGAGUGUUUACUCAAACCCUUUGAACCUGAACUAGUUAAAACUAGCGUAGGAAAGUGUAGAUUUCAUUAC
RNAcentral lists this non-coding RNA (101 nucleotides) under Jeotgalibacillus alimentarius. Its description in RNAcentral is "TPP riboswitch aptamer (THI element)". It matches the Rfam family "TPP riboswitch aptamer (THI element)". Rfam says of the family: Vitamin B(1) in its active form thiamin pyrophosphate (TPP) is an essential coenzyme that is synthesised by coupling of pyrimidine and thiazole moieties in bacteria. RNAcentral also lists the same sequence under 1 other name. The record is from Rfam by way of RNAcentral. Lineage: Bacteria; Bacillati; Bacillota; Bacilli; Caryophanales; Caryophanaceae.